UUGACCAGUAUGAUCGGCCGGGGGCAGAGUUGACCAACGCGAAUGAUUGGGGGCUAGGGCCAGUGCGCAUGAUCGGCUAGAAAAGAUGGCCGACACCAGGGUAUCAUAUGAAAACCCCCUAGGGCGAGAACCAGACUGGGAGCGUGCCAAACCGUUGGUCAAACCGGUGAACCCUAGAUGGUGCCCCGACGGCUUGACCAAAUCCCAGUAGAAGAAUCCAACGUCUGCGCCAAUGGG
RNAcentral lists this long non-coding RNA (237 nucleotides) under Setaria viridis. Its description in RNAcentral is "long non-coding RNA (SVIR_LNC009216)". Lineage: Eukaryota; Viridiplantae; Streptophyta; Magnoliopsida; Poales; Poaceae. The record is from RNAcentral.